AAAACAUCGCCUUUAGAAUCCUAUUAAAGGUAUUGCCUGCCCAGUGACUAUAUGUUCAACGGCCGUGGUAUUCUGACCACGCAAAGGUAGCGUAAUCACUUGUUUUUUAAAUAAAGACUAGUAUGAAUGGCUUCACGAGGAUCCAACUGUCUCCUUUGUCCAAUCAGUGAAACUGAUCCCCCCGUGCAGAAGCGGGGAUAUUACCAUAAGACGAGAAGACCCUAUGGAGCUUUAAACCUACAUCAACAAAUUUCUUUCUAUCUCUAAACUAACACUUAUUAAAUUUGCUUGAUUAAAGUUUUAGGUUGGGGCGACCAUGGAGAAAAAAUAAUCCUCCACGAUGAUCUCCUAACUAAGAACCACAAUUCUAAGUAUUAAGACUCUUAACUUAUAUUGACCCAUUUUAUGAUCAACGAACCAAGUUACCCUAGGGAUAACAGCGCAAUCCAUUUCAAGAGUCCAUAUCGACAAAUGGGUUUACGACCUCGAUGUUGGAUCAGGGCACCCAAGUGGUGCAACCGCUACUAAAGGUUCGUUUGUUCAACGAUUAAAGCCCUAC
Molecule: ribosomal RNA, 559 nt
Filed under: Ophryophryne elfina
Lineage: Eukaryota; Metazoa; Chordata; Amphibia; Anura; Megophryidae
Description: partial 16S ribosomal RNA
Rfam family: Bacterial large subunit ribosomal RNA
Source: RNAcentral